This 929-nucleotide long non-coding RNA is filed under the name Phaseolus vulgaris (common bean). RNAcentral's name for it is "long non-coding RNA (PVUL_LNC002044)". The record is from RNAcentral. Lineage: Eukaryota; Viridiplantae; Streptophyta; Magnoliopsida; Fabales; Fabaceae.
CUCCGCAACAGUCACUCUUGUGUUAGCAAUACUGUCUCUAAGCUUGCCAUCUCAAAUCUCAGCUGAUACCUACUUGUACUCAUCACCUCCUCCUCCCAAGAAGCCCUAUUAUUAUCACUCUCCUCCACCACCUUCACCUCCUCCACCUAAGCCAUACUACUAUCAUUCACCACCACCACCUUCACCUCCUCCACCCAAGCCAUACUACUAUCACUCACCACCACCACCUUCACCUCCUCCACCUAAACCAUACUACUAUCACUCACCACCACCACCUUCACCUCCUCCACCUAAACCAUACUACUAUCACUCACCACCACCACCUUCACCUCCUCCACCUAAACCAUACUACUAUCACUCACCACCACCACCUUCACCUCCUCCACCUAAGUCAUAUUACUAUCACUCACCACCACCACCACCCAAAAAGAAGCCAUACUACUACCAUUCUCCCCCACCACCUUCACCACCUCCUCCUAAGCCAUACUACUAUCACUCUCCCCCACCGCCUUCACCUCCUCCACCUACGCCAUACUACUAUCAUUCUCCCCCACCACCCUCACCACCUCCACCUAAGCCAUACUACUACCAUUCACCACCACCCCCACCGAAGAAGAAGCCUUACUACUACCACUCUCCACCACCACCUUCACCUCCUCCUCCAAAGAAGCCAUACUACUACCACUCCCCACCUCCUCCCAAGAAGCCCUACAAAUAUUCAUCUCCCCCACCUCCAGUGCACCCUUACCCUCAUCCUCACCCCCAUCCCCAUCCACACCCCCACCCUCACCCUCCCUACGUUUACAAAUCUCCUCCCCCACCCCCUAAGAAGCCAUACAAGUACCCAUCCCCACCACCUCCAGUCCACGUUUACCCUCACCCUCACCCGCAUCCACACCCUCACCCUCAACCUCACCCCCAUCCACAAC